AUUCUACUCUCCUCAAAUGGAUAAGAAAUCCUAUCCAGCCUGUCCUGCCUGGGAAAUGGCCACGGAAGAGAGAUAAGCAAAAACCACAGGUCCUGUUUGUCCCUGGAAGUGUCUGCUCUGUUGGUUGGAGGGAGGGAUGGACCGUUUUUCAUGGCCUCCGUCUAUGCCACACCCGGCUUGUGGUUAGAUGGAAGACUCCAGUCUCCGGAGCUGUCAAUCCAUCGCUUUUUAAUGGCAUCAGAUUUGCUUUUAAAAAUUCAUGCUGUGGGCUUUGAGGAAAUAAUUGUAGCGACUUUGUUAAAGGUUGUAUUCGAUAUAUUCUUUCUAAUGGACAGCCUGAUGCUUGGGUAUUUUAUCUUUUGUGAUAGUACAUUUUGAGGGAGGAAAAAAAAAAAGAAUGCAAGCCAGAGUGAUUUGCUAUCUACUUUUUUUGUUUUUUAAAACUUCACUCACUGGCUGCUGUCUCUGUCCAAUUGUUCCUGAGACUUUUACGGGAGGGAAAAUUUUUGCCUUUCCUAUGCUUGACUGAAAAAAUGUGUUAAGUGAUGUUUUAAAUCAGCCAUUCCUCAAAUCAAAGAACAAUCAACGUUAGAGUAUAUCAUGGAUUAUUAUACAUGCAAUUUGCGUAAAAGUUUGAAAGAGUUGGUGCAGCGGCACCAGAGUGCCGCCUGGAACCAUCACAUGCGGUUGAUGGCUGCAAUGAACAUUGGUGCUCAGAACUUCUGUUAGCUAAUUAUGCUUAACAAAAAACAAAGCAUAGCCACCCAAAGGAGCGGACCCCCAAUCCAAUCACCAUCAUUGGAUAAGACGGACACUUAACACAAAACUGCUAGUAUAGCAAUUCGAACAAAAACUCUUGUGUUUUUGAGAGUAAAGUCCUAAGUUUUAGUAUUUUGAUGUUUUCCGGGCUGUUCUCUGAGAACACAAAUGACAGUGUGGGCUGUGCAGAGACUCAGGGCACAAGGGUUGCUCAGUGCUUAGAUGCCCAGGAUCCAAGCCAGCCACACUCAGCAGCCUCCACCCACAGCUGCCCCAGGGAGUCUGCUUCAUUUACUGGACUUCUGCACAAAGUUUGUGUGAGAAAGGGAAUUGAUCGCCAGAGGGGUCACUGUUGAGCAUUCUCUAGGACAGAGGCUCUCCAUCUUCCUAAUGUCAGGACCCUUUGAUACAGUUCCUCACCUGGUGGUGACCCCCACCGUAACAUUGUUUCCUUGCUACUUCAUAACAGUAAUUUUGCUAAUACUGUGAAUCAUAAUGCAAAUAUCUGAUAUUCAGUAUAUCUGUUAUGGGGCCCCUGUUCAUUUCCCAAGGGGUCAUGACCCACAGGCUGAGAACUGUUGCUCUAGGGGAAAAGGUUUAAAAGACCUUUAUCAUCAUCAUCAUCACCACCAACACCAUCAUCAUCAUCAUCACCAUUUUAUGCAUGUUGUCCCAACACCUGUGUGGAUGUCAGAGGACAAGUUUGUGGCGUUGGUUCUCUCCUCCUCCUUACUCUGGGCUCUGGGGAUUGACUUCAAGUCACCUGGUUUGAGUGGCCAGCAUCUUUACUCCCUGAUCAAAACUGCCCACCCUAAGAUACAUAUUUUAUUUUAUGUAUUAGAUAAUAAUUUAUAUACUUUUAUUGUGUAUAAUAUAGUAAAUAUUGUUAAGAUAAUACAAGAGAUUUACAAUCAAGAGAAAUUAUUUUACUCACCUAGAGGAAAGGUAAAAAUCAUAAUGCUUUAUUACUACUCAUGUCUGAUAGUCUGUGGAGCCUGCCUGCCCUCCCUGCCUCCCUGCCUCCCUGCCUCCGUCUCCCUCCCUCCCUCUCUCCCUUCUUCUCUCUCUCCCUCCUUCCUCCCUUUCCCCUCUCUCUCUUUUCUGACACAUAUUUAUCACAAACAAGACUCUUACAUUUUUGGGGGGGUAUUUUCUUUCUUUUUUUCUUUUUUUUUUAUGAGACAGGGUUUCUCUGUAUUGUUUUGGAGGCUAUCGGUCCAGCCCGGCCUCGAACUCAAAGAGAUCCAUCUGCCUCUGCCUCCCGAGUGCUGGGUUUAAAGGCGUGCGCCACCACCGCCCGGCCAGGUAUUUUCUAUUCUUGGAAAAUCCUGAAUAUAAAUUCUUCUCCUCUCAGUGCUGAGACCCCACCUGGUUUGGGCUUGUACAGACUCUGUGUGUGCUGGCCCAGUUUCUCUGAGUUUAUAUCACCUGAACCCUAAUGUGUCUAGAAGGCCUUUUUUCCUUGGCGUCUCCCAUCCCUUCUGGCUCUUAUGAUCUUUCUCCCCUCUCUUCCACAAAGUUCUCUGAACACUGAAGGGAGAGAUUUGAUGGAGACAUCACAUUUAAAAUUGGGUGUUGCAAGGUCUCUCGCUCUCAGCACUCUGACCCGCUGUGGACCUAUGUGUUUGUUUCUAUCUGCUGCAAGAGGAGGCGUCUCCAAUGAUGACUGAGCGAGACGCUGAUCCUUUACCCAAAAGUCUGAAACACAAGGAGGAACCAACUUGUCCAGAUGGGGGGAACAUAGUCACCCAGAGAGACUGGCACUUCAAAGGCAUGACCAGGAAAAGCUGCCAUGAGGAGCAUGUAUGUGACUCCAGUUUGGCAUACCUAUGGGCUCUUGGGGCGCUGGCCUCAUUAUUCUCUCAACUCUCCCACUCUUCAUUAAUGUCCCAGGGCAUCCAUUUUAAAAUAAAGCUGGAUAUACUUAAAGUA
Molecule: long non-coding RNA, 2691 nt
Organism: Mesocricetus auratus (golden hamster)
Lineage: Eukaryota; Metazoa; Chordata; Mammalia; Rodentia; Cricetidae
Exons: 2
Source: RefSeq, a predicted model, not a curated record